This is an RNA transcript of Pyrus x bretschneideri (Chinese white pear), 1818 nucleotides long. It is a transcript of the gene named probable acylpyruvase FAHD1, mitochondrial, with no coding region annotated. The record is from RefSeq and is a predicted model, not a curated record. Lineage: Eukaryota; Viridiplantae; Streptophyta; Magnoliopsida; Rosales; Rosaceae. The transcript is spliced from 6 exons.
ACUACGUGAAAUGGUGCCUCCACCUCUUUCUCUCUCCUCUUCCCCCCUCCUCUCUUAAUUCUGAUUUAGGGAGGAGCCCGUGCUUUUCCUUAAACCGACGUUGUCUUACUUGAUGAACGGCGGCACGAUCGAAGUCCCUCACCCUCUGUUAUCGUUGGACCAUGAGGUGGCGGUGAUCAUGUCUCAGAAAGCUCGCGAUGUUCCGCAAUCCACCGCCAUGGAUUACGUUGCGGGUUAUGCACUUGCUUUGGAUAUGACUGCCAGCGAAAUUCAAGCUUCUGCUAAGGCCAUACCGAUUAAAGAUGCUAUGGUGUUGUCAAAGAUACACCAGACGUAUAAAGUUGGAUAUUUCAAGCUUUUCAAAGCGCUUCAGGUAUAAAUUCACCUCACACUUCCUUGGCAGGGGAGAAUCGGACCAUUGAGUGGGCUAUACGACUAACAGUUGCUCUGAACAUUGCCAAAGCAUUAGAUCACUGCAGCAGCGAAGGCAGCCCAUUGUACCAUGACUUAAAUGCAUAUAUGGUUCUCUUUGAUGAGAUUUAACUCACUAAAUAGGUAAGUCGAGAAAAAUUCAGCGUUGCAACUCCUUUUUUGGUAUGCUGUUUAAAUCUGUCUGGCAUUUUAUUCAUUCUUCAUGUUUAACUUUGUUCUGUAGGCUUCCUAUGGCUAACUUAAGCAUUUAAGUUAUUCAUUUUUUAAAGAUGUUAGCUAUUUUGGAACAGUUUGAAAGUAAAUGCAUGACUCAAGGAUGACUUUUAGCUUAUCCCACUUAUCUUUUACGCUCUCGCUUCAUUCAUGUGCUGAGUCAUGGUUUAACUGUCUAAAUUCAAGAACUAAAAAUGGCCAGCAGGCUAAAAAGCGAUUAGAUUUUGAGAUGCAUAUUUUGGUUUCUCAUUAUUUCUUUGUUUUGUAAUUUUCAUUUAUUAAUGUUCUUUUGGCAGCUUAUUUGAUUGUAUUUGUGUAACAAAUUGGUUACUUGACAUUUUGAGAGGAUUCGAGCAUUAAUAUUGUCAGUAAUGGUGAGACUACUGGUUUUCCAGCCACCCCACACAAUGAGCAGCUGAGUUAUGCAUCUCCAAGCAAGAAAAGGCCGGAUGCUAUUAGUGAUUCUGCCAAAGAAUCAAAACAAAGUGGUAGGUAUUUACAUUUCCAUGUAUAGGAUUUUGUGGAUUUUAUGAGAUAUAUUGUUUGUUCUUCUCUCAGCUUUGAGUUUUAGAUAUGUUUAGCUCCUUUUCGAAGGACAAACAGAUUUUGCGCUAAUUUAAUGACUUAUGGCUUAUCUGUUUUUUCUUCAAAAUUCAUGUGCAAAAUUUUGUUGAGUCAACAUUCAAUGCCCUUCCUUCGAAUCAAGUUAAAGGUAGGAUCAUUAAAUCAUACUAUUUUCAUCGCCUCCUUAUCCUCUUGCUGAACAGAAUGGAGUAAAUUGUCUUCAUUUGCAUUCUUGCAUUUGAACUUGCAAGUCUGUUUAUGCUAAAUUAAUCAUAUUUAUUUUUUGGUGUCUUUGAUUCUGCUGAGUUGCACCUUAUUGUCUAUUUUUAGAUUUCAUUUAGACUCAUAAACUGAGGCAUUAUGUAUGGCAUUAUGUAUGCCCUAGAACGAAUGGAGAAGUUCGGGCAACAAUGUCGGUGGCCGCCUUUGUAAAUAGAGUGAAAUAUACGAAUGAUCAAUUAGCCAUCAUAAAAUAAUGUGGUCUAUGUAUAUAUUAUGUACUUGCACAUCAAGUAUGUAAGUAGUACCAUAUGUACUGUUUUCAAUCCUGCAGCAUCACGCGGGCAUUUUUUGCUGGUAAUAUCUAUAACACCUUCAAGGGCUUUCUGA